Molecule: ribosomal RNA, 189 nt
Filed under: uncultured bacterium
Lineage: Bacteria
Description: partial 16S ribosomal RNA
Rfam family: Bacterial small subunit ribosomal RNA
Source: RNAcentral
CCUACGGGAGGCAGCAGUGGGGAAUAUUGGUCAAUGGUCGGAAGACUGAACCAGCCAUGCCGCGUGCAGGAAGAAUGCCUUAUGGGUUGUAAACUGCUUUUAUAUGGGAAGAAUAAGGAGUACGUGUACUUUGAUGACGAUACCAUAUGAAUAAGCAUCGGCUAACUCCGUGCCAGCAGCCGCGGUAAU